Molecule: RNA transcript, 1876 nt
Organism: Mus musculus (house mouse)
Lineage: Eukaryota; Metazoa; Chordata; Mammalia; Rodentia; Muridae
Gene: Farsa
Gene name: phenylalanyl-tRNA synthetase, alpha subunit
Exons: 13
Source: RefSeq, marked validated
GUUCCAGUUCCGGUCCCCUAGUCAGGUCCGGCGGCCUGCACACGCCAAGCACGCUGGGAGUAGCCAUGGCGGAUAAUCCCGUUUUGGAGCUGUUGCUGCGGCGGCUGGAGGUAGCUGAUGGCGGUCUGGACAGCGCGGAGUUGGCUACGCAGCUGGGUGUGGAGCACCAGGCGGUGGUGGGCGCAGUGAAGAGCCUUCAAGCUCUGGGUGAGGUCAUUGAGGCUGAGCUUCGUUCUACCAAGUGCUGGGAGCUGACUACUGAGGGUGAGGAGAUUGCCCGGGAGGGCAGCCAUGAGGCCCGUGUGUUUAGAAGCAUCCCUCUCGAGGGCCUGGUGCAGAGUGAGCUCAUGCACCUGCCCAGCGGCAAGGUGGGCUUCAGCAAGGCCAUGUCCAACAAGUGGAUCCGAGUGGACAAGAGUGCCGCCGACGGGCCCCGGGUGUUCCGAGUGGUGGACAGUAUAGAGGAUGAAGUGCAGAAGCGGUUGCAGCUGGUCCAGGCAGGCCAGGCUGAGAAGCUGGCUGAAAAGGAACGGAAUGAGCUCAGGAAGAGGAAGCUGCUGACGGAAGUGAUCCUGAAAACCUACUGGGUGAGCAAGGGCAAGGCCUUCAGCACAAGCGUGUCUAAGCAGGAGGCAGAGCUGAGCCCAGAGAUGAUCUCCAGUGGCUCUUGGAGGGACCGACCUUUCAAACCCUACAACUUCUCUGCCCGUGGUGUGCUCCCAGAUAGUGGCCACCUGCACCCCUUGCUCAAGGUCCGCUCUCAGUUCCGACAAAUCUUCUUGGAGAUGGGGUUCACUGAGAUGCCUACGGACAAUUUCAUUGAGAGCUCCUUCUGGAACUUUGAUGCACUCUUUCAGCCUCAGCAGCACCCAGCACGUGACCAACAUGAUACUUUCUUCCUGCGAGACCCAGCUGAGGCCCUGCAGCUUCCAAUGGGCUAUGUCCAGCGCGUGAAACGGACCCACUCCCAGGGUGGCUACGGCUCACAGGGCUACAAGUAUACCUGGAAGCUGGAAGAGGCCCGGAAAAACCUGCUUCGCACACACACCACAGCAGCCAGCGCCCGCGCCCUCUACCAGUUAGCCCAGAAGGCGUGGCCUGGCCAUCAUUCCUCCUCCUCAGAAGCCGUUUACACCAGCCAAGUACUUCUCUAUUGAUCGUGUGUUUCGGAAUGAGACGCUGGACGCCACGCACCUGGCGGAGUUCCACCAGAUUGAGGGUGUAAUAGCAGACCAUGGUCUCACCCUAGGCCACCUCAUGGGUGUGCUGAGGGAGUUCUUCACCAAGCUGGGAAUCACGCAGUUGCGCUUCAAACCAGCCUACAACCCCUACACAGAGCCCAGCAUGGAAGUGUUCAGCUACCACCAAGGUCUAAAGAAGUGGGUUGAAGUUGGCAACUCUGGGGUCUUCCGCCCUGAGAUGCUCCUGCCUAUGGGGCUCCCUGAGAAUGUGUCUGUCAUUGCUUGGGGUCUCUCCCUGGAACGCCCAACAAUGAUCAAAUAUGGCAUCAAUAACAUCCGAGAACUGGUGGGCCACAAGGUGAACCUGCAGAUGGUAUACGACAGCCCUGUGUGCCGACUGGAUAUUGAGCCCAGGUCCUCAAAGACACAGGAGGCUGCAUGAUAUAGGCUGUUCCAGAGAUCCCUGUCUAGUCCCUGUGCAUCUCUUGGCAGUGACCUACUAUUUAUGAGGCCUCUGUGAGGCCAGCUCACUCCCCCUGCCUCUCCCACCCUGGGGGCAGGGUUCUAAGUAUGGGGAGUUCUUAUGCUGGCUUUUAGUGGUGUGUGUAGUUUGCUUGUAAGGGUGGGUUUGGCCCUGCAGGCCAGCUGUUUUAAUAAAGUGGGCACAUUCCCUCAUUUGGUGCCUUUUGUUAGGA